Molecule: long non-coding RNA, 1085 nt
Filed under: Manacus vitellinus (golden-collared manakin)
Lineage: Eukaryota; Metazoa; Chordata; Aves; Passeriformes; Pipridae
Description: lncRNA (ENSMVIG00005008703.1)
Source: RNAcentral
CUCAUGAGCAGUUUGGAGAGUGCUGUGGAACUGCCCUGCCCUUCCCCUUAGCACAUCAAUGUUUUGUUUGUCCUCUCUGUCCCCAGCUGAGAUCCUGCAGGCCAGUGACGAGCUCACGCGGGUGCUGGGGCAGUACAGGCAGGCUGUGUCCCUCGGGCAGUACGGGCAGGCUGUGUCCCUCGGGCAGUGCGGGCAGGCUGUGUCCCGCCAGGAGAACGGCGAUGGAGAGGGUUCAUCCUCCAGCUCUGCCCACGUGCCAGUGUGCCGACCAGCCCCGCGGCGCAUGAAGAGCUACACCCUGAUGGACUUCUCCGAGCUGGAGGCCACAGCCCAGCCUCCCUCAGAGCCCUUUGCAGACACAGCCUCGGCCUCCCGCCAUGGCAGCACAACCUCCACGUGCCUGCUCGAGGAGGAGUUACAGGCCUUAGGUCUGUAGCCCAGUUCAGUGCUACCCUUCUUACUGGGGUUCGUGGUGAUUCAUAAAGAGAGGAGAGCUUUGGCUUUAAUGUCAGUCCCAAGAGAAAGUAGAGCCUUUCGGUCCUAUGUUUUGAGGAAUACAGUGUCUUUAGUGGUGUUAGACUGUAGCCAAACCACGGUUAGACAGCAAAGGAAGAACCUGUGGAAAACCCUUGUAUUCUGUAAAUUAUCUGUGGCAUUUUGGCAUCUUUCUUAGGUCUGAGCAGUGACAGCCAGCACUCCGUAAUGGCUCCUUUCCUCACAAUCUGCCAUCUCCUUCUUUUUUGUGCCUGGCAGGAGGAGUGUGAACUUCUCACAGCCUUCCCCUGUAGCUGACCCCACUUUACAGGACCCUGCUGGAGAGCUCUGUCAUACACACCUUCCCUGCCACUUUAUGGGCCCAUUUGCCCUCUUCCCCCCUACUUUUUGAAUUAAAAAAAAAAGUAAAUCCACACCACCACUCAGCCCUCGUGCCAGUGUGCCUGGAGCAGGGGCUGUUCCAGGGAUGCAGGGACAUCCCCGACCCCGUUCUUCCUGGGCUCUGUGUGCGAGGUGAGGCAGGAGCGGGAUGGGCGGUGGGAACGGCACCAAAGGGAGGAUGAGGUGACGGUGCCGUGCUGGGGACCGGG